This 738-nucleotide ribosomal RNA is filed under the name uncultured bacterium. RNAcentral's name for it is "bacterial SSU rRNA". It matches the Rfam family "Bacterial small subunit ribosomal RNA", at positions 335 to 1064 of the family's 1533-position model. The record is from RNAcentral.
ACUCCUACGGGAGGCAGCAGCGGGGAAUUUUGCGCAAUGGGCGAAAGCCUGACGCAGUAACGCCGCGUGGAGGAUGAAGGCCUUCGGGUUGUAAACUCCUGUCAGGGGGAACGACGGGGCAAGGGCGAUAAACUCUUGCCUCCAGACGGUACCUCCAAAGGAAGCCCCGGCUAAUUCCGUGCCAGCAGCCGCGGUAAUACGGAAGGGGCGAGAGUUGUUCGGAAUCAUUGGGCGUAAAGGGCGCGUAGGUGGUUCUGUAUGUCUACCGUGAAAGCGUACGGCUCAACCGUAUUUUGUCGGUAGAAACUGCAGGACUUGAGGCUGGGAGGGGCUGGUGGAAUUCCCUGUGUAGCGGUGAAAUGCGUAGAGAUGGGGGAGAACACUCGUGGCGAAGGCGGCCAGCUAGACCAGUUCUGACACUGAGGCGCGACAGCGUGGGGAGCAAACAGGAUUAGAUACCCUGGUAGUCCACGCUGUAAACGAUGGGCACUAGGUGCCGGCGGUCUUGAUCCCGUCGGUGCCGGCGCUAACGCAGUAAGUGCCCCGCCUGGGGAGUACGGCCGCAAGGCUGAAACUCAAAGGAAUUGACGGGGGCCCGCACAAGCGGUGGAGCAUGUGGUUUAAUUCGACGCAACGCGAAGAACCUUACCUGGGUUUGACAUGUGCAGGACAGGUGAUGAAAGUCACCCUCCCUUCGGGGCCUGUGCACGGGUGCUGCAUGGCUGUCGUCAGCUCGUG